CUAUGCGCCUUGCCAGCCCGCUCAGGUGUGCCAGCCGCCGCGGUAAUACGGAGGGUGCGAGCGUUAAUCGGAAUUACUGGGCGUAAAGCGCACGCAGGCGGUUUGUUAAGUCAGAUGUGAAAUCCCCGGGCUCAACCUAGGAACUGCAUCUGAUACUGGCAAGCUUGAGUCUCGUAGAGGGGGGUAGAAUUCCAGGUGUAGCGGUGAAAUGCGUAGAGAUCUGGAGGAAUACCGGUGGCGAAGGCGGCCCCCUGGACGAAGACUGACGCUCAGUGCGAAAGCGUGGGAGCAAACAGG
Molecule: ribosomal RNA, 297 nt
Filed under: uncultured bacterium
Lineage: Bacteria
Description: partial 16S ribosomal RNA
Rfam family: Bacterial small subunit ribosomal RNA
Source: RNAcentral